Molecule: long non-coding RNA, 983 nt
Organism: Oryza brachyantha (malo sina)
Lineage: Eukaryota; Viridiplantae; Streptophyta; Magnoliopsida; Poales; Poaceae
Exons: 4
Source: RefSeq, a predicted model, not a curated record
UUAAAUGGGCCGGUAUCUGUCUGAUAGCGUUCUAAUCAUAGCCCACCAUAGUGCAAAGGCCCAUUUCCGAGUCUGAUUUUGGUCCCUCCGGCGCACCGCCGCGUCGUCCUCCACCGUCCGACGCCGCCGCGCCGCCUCCUCCUCCUCCUCCCUCCUGUUGAUCGAUCGCCCUCUCGAUCCGAGGACGCCGGAUGAUCCCAGAUACCCCUACUCGGCGCCGCCGCUAGGACCCUCCUCGUCGACGCCUGAACCCAUUCGUCGGCGGAGGAAUAGGAUGCGUGGGAGCAGUGUGGACCCUAGAUCGAUGGCGCGGCGGCGGAGCCGGCCGGCGAUGUGGAGCCUAAGGUCCCGUAGGGGUCUGGCCAUUCCACUAUCCAAGCACUGCAAUGGAAGUGAUUGUAAUUGACUGAAAAGUUGAUGCGACGCAGGACAGGAAAGAGGGGUUUGGUGUGAUUGAAGACGAGGCUUGAAAAGUUUGUGAGUACAAGAUCUGAGGCUUUGGUGCAUCCAUCUCCGAAUAGUAUUUAUCUUGAUGUGCUCACAUUGGUGUUCUGUUCUUCCCCUCUUGAACAAAAUGGAAAAAGAUUCCGAAGACUUUCCCAUGCUGAAGGUCCCUAUCGCCGAAUUGUUUGAGAAUCAUUUUAAAUUACCAGUACUCACUGUUUGACACAACAUGGUCAUUAUUAUGGCCUCCCUGGGUUUACCACAAUGUACAUGUUUGGUUGAGUGACUGAACUGCCAAACCUAUAUGCUUAUAUUGUGGAUACCUAGCCUGUUAGAGCGAGCACAAUAAGUGUGAUAUAAGCAUGCUUACAUUAUCUUUAUGUUUACAUGAUGUUUACAUGAAGAAAAGAAAGAAAAACGAUUUACAAAUUUACAACAAGCUACAACACAAGCUCUAAGACACUUAAGUAUAUAUGAGAAGAUGGGCCAUACAUGAAUGAUGUAGCAUAUACUUAUGUGUAACUAUUAUAUAAGUUGAU